GGGUCAGUAGGUUGGUCGUGCCACCGGUACGUACUGGUCUCACUGAUUCCUCCUUCCUGAAGAACCGUAAUGCCAUUAAUUUGGUGUUGCGGGGAAACAGGACUGCUACUUUGAAAAAAUUAGAGUGUUUAAAGCAAGCUAACGCUUGAAUACAUUAGCAUGGAAUAAUGAAAUAGGACGAUCGAUCCUAUUUUGUUGUUUUCUAGGAUUGACGUA
RNAcentral lists this ribosomal RNA (216 nucleotides) under Glomeromycotina sp. RNAcentral's name for it is "partial small subunit ribosomal RNA". The stretch from base 40 to 216 matches the Rfam family "Eukaryotic small subunit ribosomal RNA", at positions 686 to 864 of the family's 1831-position model. The record is from RNAcentral. Lineage: Eukaryota; Fungi; Glomeromycota.